AUGAACGCUAGCGGCAGGCUUAAUACAUGCAAGUUGAGGGGCAGCAUGAUAUACGCGAGUAUAUUGAUGGCGACCGGCGGACGGGUGAGUAAUAGGUAGGUAACCUACCUCAUACUGAGGCAUAGCUGGGAGAAAUUCCAGGUAAUUCCUCAUGAGGUUAUAUGACACAUGUGAUAUAAUCAAAGGUAUCGCAAGGUACUGGUAUGAGAUGGGCUUACUGACCAUUAGCUAGUUGGUGAGAUAAGAGCUCACCAAGGCGAAGAUGGUUAGGGGUUUUGAGAGAGAGAUCCCCCACAUUGGAACUGAGAUACGGUCCAGACUCCUACGGGAGGCAGCAGUAGGGAAUAUUGCACAAUGGGCGAAAGCCUGAUGCAGCGACGCCGCGUGAGGGAUGACGGCCUUCGGGUUGUAAACCUCUUUCAGCAGGGAAGAAGCGAAAGUGACGGUACCUGCAGAAGAAGCACCGGCUAACUACGUG
Molecule: ribosomal RNA, 478 nt
Filed under: uncultured bacterium
Lineage: Bacteria
Description: bacterial SSU rRNA
Rfam family: Bacterial small subunit ribosomal RNA
Source: RNAcentral